UACGUAAGGUCCGAGCGUUGUCCGGAAUCAUUGGGCGUAAAGGGUACGUAGGCGGUUAAUCAAGUUAGAAGUGAAAUCCGAUAGCUCAACUAUAGUAAGCUUUUAAAACUGCUCAUCUUGAGGUAUGGAAGGGAAAGUGGAAUUCCUAGUGUAGCGGUGAAAUGCGUAGAUAUUAGGCGGAACACCGGUUGCGUAGGCGACUUUCUGGGCAUAAACUGACGCUGAGGUACGAAAGUGUGGGUAGCAAACAGG
Molecule: ribosomal RNA, 252 nt
Filed under: uncultured bacterium
Lineage: Bacteria
Description: partial 16S ribosomal RNA
Rfam family: Bacterial small subunit ribosomal RNA
Source: RNAcentral